AACGUUGGCGGCGUGCUUAAUACAUGCAAGUCAACUGAAGCACCGGUAGUAAUACUGGUGUGGAGGUGGCGCACGGGUGAGUAACACGUAGGUAAUCUGCCUUCAGGUCUGACAUAACCCCGAGAAAUCGGGGCUAAUAGCAGAUGAUGCAGCGGCUUGACAUCAAGACAGUUGUUAAAGCUUCGGCGCCUGAAGAUGAGCCUGCGUCUGAUUAGCUAGUUGGCGGAGUAAUAGCCCACCAAGGCGACGAUCAGUAGCUGGUCUGAGAGGAUGAUCAGCCACACUGGAACUGAGACACGGUCCAGACUCUUACGGGAGGCAGCAGUAAGGAAUAUUGCUCAAUGGGAGAAAUCCUGAAGCAGCAACGCCGCGUGAGGGAUGAAGGGCUUUUGCUCGUAAACCUCUGUAGUGAGGGAAAAAUUUCCAUUCUAUGGAAUAUGAUGGUACCUCAAAAGUAAGCCCCGGCUAACUACGUG
Molecule: ribosomal RNA, 476 nt
Filed under: uncultured bacterium
Lineage: Bacteria
Description: bacterial SSU rRNA
Rfam family: Bacterial small subunit ribosomal RNA
Source: RNAcentral